GAUGAACGCUGGCGGCGUGCCUAAUACAUGCAAGUAGAACGCUGAAGCUUGGUGCUUGCACCGAGCGGAUGAGUUGCGAACGGGUGAGUAACGCGUAGGUAACCUGCCUCUUAGCGGGGGAUAACUAUUGGAAACGAUAGCUAAUACCGCAUAAAAGACGAUAUCGCAUGAUAUUGAUUUGAAAGGUGCAAUUGCAUCACUAAGAGAUGGACCUGCGUUGUAUUAGCUAGUUGGUGAGGUAACGGCUCACCAAGGCGACGAUACAUAGCCGACCUGAGAGGGUGAUCGGCCACACUGGGACUGAGACACGGCCCAGACUCCUACGGGAGGCAGCAGUAGGGAAUCUUCGGCAAUGGGGGCAACCCUGACCGAGCAACGCCGCGUGAGUGAAGAAGGUUUUCGGAUCGUAAAGCUCUGUUGUAAGAGAAGAACGAGUGUGAGAGUGGAAAGUUCACACUGUGACGGUAA
RNAcentral lists this ribosomal RNA (468 nucleotides) under uncultured bacterium. RNAcentral describes it as "bacterial SSU rRNA". It matches the Rfam family "Bacterial small subunit ribosomal RNA", at positions 28 to 478 of the family's 1533-position model. The record is from RNAcentral.